UUACAGGGGCGAAUCACGCCGAAUGCUCCGUAAAAAAUUGAUAGAGAUGGAAUUCACGGCACAAAUAGUUUACAAAAUGUUUAGAUUUAGGCUAUAAAAAUGGAUUUUAUCAAAGAAAACGGCACUUCAUUUGUUCAAUGAGAUACUCUGGAAGAGAAAUAAGAGCAAGAUAUCAGAAUGCCGGUGGUGGCUGGUCCCCUGCAAGAAGGUGAGGUGCCUGAGGUCCCUCCGCCCCCUCUGGACAUCGAGGGGUCCCCGGCAUACACGGUGAUUUCUCAGCCAAAGGUGAAGAACAAAUGGAGCUCUUUCGCCUACAAAAAUAAUAUUUUGGGAAAAAAUGGACUUUGGCUAUCUACCUGGGAGUCUCGUGAGUGAAAACAUCUGAAGUUCAUCAAAGGACAAUGACCCAACACACCUCCAGGCUGUGUAAGGGCUAUUUGACCAAGAAGGAGAGUGAUGGAGUGCUGCAUUAGAUGACCUGGCCGCCACAAUCUCCUGACCUAAACCUAAUUGAGAUGGUUUGGGAUGAGUUGGAACGCAGAGUGAAGGAAAAGCAGCCAACAAGUGCUCAGCAUAUGUGGGAACUCCUGCAAGACUGUUGGAAAAGCAUUGUAGGUGAAGCUGGUUGAGAGAAUGCCAAGAGGGUGCAAAGCUGUCUACAAG
Oncorhynchus tshawytscha (Chinook salmon) is the source of this 663-nucleotide long non-coding RNA. The record is from Ensembl. Lineage: Eukaryota; Metazoa; Chordata; Actinopteri; Salmoniformes; Salmonidae.